This 494-nucleotide ribosomal RNA is filed under the name uncultured bacterium. RNAcentral's name for it is "bacterial SSU rRNA". It matches the Rfam family "Bacterial small subunit ribosomal RNA", at positions 28 to 521 of the family's 1533-position model. The record is from RNAcentral.
GAUGAACGCUAGCGGCAGGCCUAACACAUGCAAGUCGAGGGGUAGGGUUAGCUUGCUAACUUGAGACCGGCGCACGGGUGCGUAACGCGUAUGCAAUCUACCUUGUACAGAGGGAUAGCCCAGAGAAAUUUGGAUUAAUACCUCAUAGUAUCUUUACCUGGCAUCGGGUAAUUAUUAAAGUUCCAACGGUACAAGAUGAGCAUGCGUCCCAUUAGUUAGUUGGUAAGGUAACGGCUUACCAAGACAAUGAUGGGUAGGGGUCCUGAGAGGGAGAUCCCCCACACUGGUACUGAGACACGGACCAGACUCCUACGGGAGGCAGCAGUGAGGAAUAUUGGUCAAUGGACGCAAGUCUGAACCAGCCAUGCCGCGUGCAGGAAGACGGUCCUAUGGAUUGUAAACUGCUUUUUAUACAGGAAAAAACACUCUACGUGUAGAGUCAUGACGGUACUGUAGGAAUAAGGAUCGGCUAACUCCGUGCCAGCAGCCGCGGU